UGCCAGCGCCGCGGUAAUACGGGGGGGGCAAGCGUUAUUCGGAAUUAUUGGGCGUAAAGGGCGCGUAGGCGGCUUUUCAAGUGACGGGUGAAAUCCCUCGGCUUAACCGAGGAACUGCCUGUCAGACUGGAAGGCUUGAGACCGGGAGAGGUGAGUGGAAUUCCCAGUGUAGCGGUGAAAUGCGUAGAUAUUGGGAGGAACACCAGUGGCGAAGGCGGCUCACUGGACCGGAACUGACGCUGAGGCGCGAAAGCGUGGGGAGCAAACAGG
RNAcentral lists this ribosomal RNA (270 nucleotides) under uncultured prokaryote. Its description in RNAcentral is "partial 16S ribosomal RNA". It matches the Rfam family "Bacterial small subunit ribosomal RNA", at positions 506 to 776 of the family's 1533-position model. The record is from RNAcentral.